RNAcentral lists this ribosomal RNA (117 nucleotides) under Planctomycetota bacterium. The record is from RNAcentral. Lineage: Bacteria; Pseudomonadati; Planctomycetota.
GGCGGUGUGCAUACGUUGCGGGCCACACCUGUUCCCAUCCCGAACACAGAAGUUAAGCCGCAACGGCCAAUGGUACUGCCUAAGCGGGAGANGCGGGAGAGUAGGUGAAUGCCGCCU